GUUUCUAUGAAAGAACCUUGUGAGAUAAUUAUCUGCUGCAAGUGUGCAAGUGUGGUGGUCCAUGUGAACGUGCGAGGGUUCCACACACAGUAACACUUGCCCCUGUCUCAGUUCUCCUGCAGCUGGCGAGUGACGCUUUGCCCAGUGACAUGACCUUGGCCCUCGCUUACCUCCUCGCCUUACCACAGGCUGACCCCAAAGAGGUGAUCGGGAUGGUCACCAGGCACGUGACUCACUGUGGACUCAAAGCCUGGCCGGAGGCCCUGGCCCCACUCACCGCGCAGCUGCACCACUACAAUGAGCAGCUUCUGGACUUAACACAGGCACAGCUCCUGCAGGGCCUGGGGAAGGGCGUGGACGUGCAGCGCUUCACCACUGAUGACCAGUACAAGAGGGAGACCAUCCUUGGGCUGGCAGAAACGCUAGAGGAGAACGUGUAUAGCCUUGUGCUCUUCCUGGCUCAGCGCUGCGGCAUCUCCUGCUGGGAAGUGUUCAUGACCCACCUGGAGUUUCUGUUCACCGAUAGCGGGCGAAGAAUGCUGUCUCACACUGUUGACCAGAUGCGGAGGAAGACACUUAGAGCACCUGCCUGUCUCGGAUAUGGUUCCAGCCCAUGGCCACCACACUCAGACCCAUCAGUGAACCAGCCCUCGAUAUUCCAGAUCUGCAGCCUCCAGCUUGCACCAAUGAGCUUAGGG
RNAcentral lists this long non-coding RNA (698 nucleotides) under Cavia porcellus (domestic guinea pig). RNAcentral's name for it is "lncRNA (ENSCPOG00000030194.1)". The record is from RNAcentral. Lineage: Eukaryota; Metazoa; Chordata; Mammalia; Rodentia; Caviidae.